GACGAACGCUGGCGGCGUGCUUAACACAUGCAAGUCGAACGGAAAGGCCCUGCUUUUGUGGGGUGCUCGAGUGGCGAACGGGUGAGUAACACGUGAGUAACCUGCCCUUGACUUUGGGAUAACUUCAGGAAACUGGGGCUAAUACCGGAUAGGAGUUCCUGCUGCAUGGUGGGGGUUGGAAAGUUUCGGCGGUUGGGGAUGGACUCGCGGCUUAUCAGCUUGUUGGUGGGGUAGUGGCUUACCAAGGCUUUGACGGGUAGCCGGCCUGAGAGGGUGACCGGCCACAUUGGGACUGAGAUGCGGCCCAGACUCCUACGGGAGGCAGCAGUGGGGAAUAUUGCACAAUGGGCGGAAGCCUGAUGCAGCAACGCCGCGUGCGGGAUGACGGCCUUCGGGUUGUAUACCGCUUUCGCCUGUGACGAAGCGUGAGUGACGGUAAUGGGUAAAGAAGCACCGGCUAACUACGUG
Molecule: ribosomal RNA, 468 nt
Filed under: uncultured bacterium
Lineage: Bacteria
Description: partial 16S ribosomal RNA
Rfam family: Bacterial small subunit ribosomal RNA
Source: RNAcentral